UGGGGAAUAUUGCACAAUGGGGGAAACCCUGAUGCAGCGACGCCGCGUGAGCGAAGAAGGUUUUCGAAUCGUAAAGCUCUGUCCUAUGAGAAGAUAAUGACGGUACCAUAAGAAAAAGCCCCGGCUAACUACGUGCCAGCAGCCGCGGUAAUACGUAGGGGGCUAGCGUUGUCCGGAAUCACUGGGCGUAAAGGGUUCGCAGGCGGAAAUGCAAGUCAGGUGUAAAAGGCAGUAGCUUAACUACUGUAAGCAUUUGAAACUGCAUAUCUUGAGAAGAGUAGAGGUAAGUGGAAUUUUUAGUGUAGCGGUGAAAUGCGUAGAUAUUAAAAAGAAUACCGGUGGCGAAGGCGACUUACUGGGCUCAUUCUGACGCUGAGGAACGAAAGCGUGGGUAGCAAACAGG
Molecule: ribosomal RNA, 403 nt
Filed under: Verrucomicrobiota bacterium
Lineage: Bacteria; Pseudomonadati; Verrucomicrobiota
Description: Verrucomicrobia bacterium partial 16S ribosomal RNA
Rfam family: Bacterial small subunit ribosomal RNA
Source: RNAcentral